CUUCCAGUAGCACCUUAGAGACCAACUAAGUUAAUUAUUGGUACGAGCUUUUGUGUGCGUGCACACGAAAGCUCAUACCAAUAACUAACUUAGUUGGUCUCUAAGGUGCUACUGGAAG
This is a non-coding RNA of Podarcis lilfordi (Lilford's wall lizard), 118 nucleotides long. Lineage: Eukaryota; Metazoa; Chordata; Lepidosauria; Squamata; Lacertidae. The record is from the annotation of a GenBank genome assembly.